AGUUUGCUAUGAUGAAGUUAAGUCCAUGUUUCAGCUGAUCACCCUGAUUAAACACAUGCUCUGAGAGACU
Molecule: small nucleolar RNA, 70 nt
Organism: Neogale vison (American mink)
Lineage: Eukaryota; Metazoa; Chordata; Mammalia; Carnivora; Mustelidae
Product: small nucleolar RNA SNORD126
Exons: 1
Source: RefSeq, a predicted model, not a curated record